This 1112-nucleotide long non-coding RNA is filed under the name Homo sapiens (human). RNAcentral describes it as "HSALNT0265403". Lineage: Eukaryota; Metazoa; Chordata; Mammalia; Primates; Hominidae. The record is from RNAcentral.
GUUGAACUACUUGUUCUUUAUUAGAGAACUAGAGGAACCAGGCCCAUAUGUUUGAUGGCAACUUGACAAAGCUCUAUUAAGAGCUCACACCUAUGAAUACAGUGUGGUUUGCCAGAAAAGGGGCAUUCAGUUUCCGAGCCAAAUAUAGUACACUGAAGCACUAAGAUGUAUGAACUGAAUCUUGACCUGCUGGUAUGUAAACUUUUCAAAGUUCCCAAAUUUGAAGACAGGUUGGACAUUUUUCUAGUGGAGUUCCUGGACCCAAAGUUAUUUUUUAUGAAGCAGUUUUGUAAAAUUUAUGAUGUGAGGUUACAAUAUGCCUUUUUCUUGUGAUUCAUCCUUCUUGCAAGCUUCUAUGUAGCAAGCCGGCAAAAGGCAGUGGAAGGGACUUCUGGGGACGGUCCUGUCAUUUCCUGCAGUAUUUUCGUGAGUCAUUCAGCAUCGGUCUCUUCCCUACUCCUAUUGUCUGGCUGGAGAGAAGCACCCUUUCAUAGCUCUACCCCUUUCUUUUAUGGAUGGAGAAAAUGAGGCCCAGAAAAAUAAAUGGAUUUGUCCAAGAUAACCCUGAUUGUUUAAUCAGGGUGUUGCAGAGCUCACAUCCGCUGGUCAUGUGUUUGCUGGAGGACUCAACUUUUGGAGUCUCUGAUUUUUAUUUGUAAAAAAGAGGUAGUAGUAUAGUUCUUGAAGAUUCAUCUUACAGAAGUAAAUUGAUGGAAAAACUACUUUAUUAAGGCAUAAUUGACAUAAAAUAAACAGCAUGCACUUAAAGUGUACAAUUUGAUAAGCAUUGACUUAUGUGUACAUCCAUGAAACUGUCACUACAAUCAAGAUGGCAAACAGCCCUCAUCCCCAAGAGGUUCCCUGUGCCCCUUGUCAUCCUUCCCUGCAUUCCUCCCUCUCUUCCUCCCUAGACAAUCACUGAUCUGCUUAGUUUACAUUUUCUGGAGUUUUAUAUAGUGGAAUCACACAGAUUUUAUUCUUUUUUGUAUGACUUCUUUUACUCAACAUAAUUGUUUUGACAUUCAUUCUUUAUAUGGAAUGAAUCAAUAUUUAUUCUUUUUAUUUUUGAGUAGGAUUUUAAGGUAUGGAUACAUCUCAACUUGCUUAUUCAU